GACGAACGCUGGCGGCGUGCCUAAUACAUGCAAGUCGAACGAACCGCGACUAAGUGCUUGCACUAAGUCAAGGUGAGUGGCGAACGGGUGAGUAACACGUGGGUAACCUACCUCAUAGUGGGGGAUAACAGUCGGAAACGACUGCUAAUACCGCAUAGGACAUAGGAUCACAUGAUCCAGUGAGGAAAGGUGGCGCAAGCUAUCGCUAAGAGAUGGACCCGCGGUGCAUUAGCUAGUUGGUAGGGUAAAGGCCUACCAAGGCGAUGAUGCAUAGCCGACCUGAGAGGGUGAUCGGCCACAUUGGGACUGAGACACGGCACAAACUCCUACGGGAGGCAGCAGUAGGGAAUCUUCCGCAAUGGACGCAAGUCUGACGGAGCAACGCCGCGUGAGUGAAGAAGGUCUUCGGAUCGUAAAGCUCUGUUGUUAGAGAAGAACAGCGCAUAGAGUAACUGCUAUGCGUGUGACGGUAUCUAACCAGAAAGCCACGGCUAACUACGUG
Molecule: ribosomal RNA, 502 nt
Filed under: uncultured bacterium
Lineage: Bacteria
Description: partial 16S ribosomal RNA
Rfam family: Bacterial small subunit ribosomal RNA
Source: RNAcentral